Molecule: long non-coding RNA, 6473 nt
Organism: Oncorhynchus tshawytscha (Chinook salmon)
Lineage: Eukaryota; Metazoa; Chordata; Actinopteri; Salmoniformes; Salmonidae
Source: Ensembl
CGAGACACAGCUGCGUGGCCAGGCUCUAGACCGAGACACAGCUGCGUGGCCAGGCUCUAGACCGAGACACAGCUGCGUGGCCAGGCUCUAGGGUCUAUACGACAGAGUAGAGGCUGCCUCCAAAGUGUGCACUUACUUGUCUUGCACACUUCUUGUCAUGGAUUUAAAAGCAUUAGAUUGUAAUUAUUGGCUGAAGGGAGUUUCUUUCCACCGUUGUUAAGCCUAAAUCCAUGAUGGGAAGUGUGCAAGUGAACACUUUGAGAAAAGGGUGUAUAAUUAGGGUGCAGCUGUGUCUGAUCCCGUUGGUUCCUUAAGGAUCUCCAGUCAGGACUAUACAGCUGUGUCUGAGCCCAUUGGUUCCUUAAGGAUCCCCAGUCAGGACUAUACAGCUGUGUCUGAUCCCAUUGGUUCCUUAAGGAUCCCCAGUCAGGGCUAUACAGCUGUGUCUGAUCCUGUUGGUUCUAUACAUCUGUGUCUGAGCCCGCUGGUUCCUUAAGGAUCCCCAGUCAGGACUAUACAGCUGUCUGAUCCCAUUGGUUCCUUAAGGAUCCCCAGUCAGGACUAUACAGCUGUGUCUGAUCCCAUUGGUUCCUUAAGGAUCCCCAGUCAGGGCUAUACAGCUGUGUCUGAGCCCAUUGGUUCCUUAAGGAUCCCCAGUCAGGGCUAUACAGCUGUGUCUGAGCCCAUUGGUUCCUUAAGGAUCCCCAGUCAGGGCUAUACAGCUGUGUCUGAGCCCGUUGGUUCCUUAAGGAUCCCCAGUCAGGACUAUACAGCUGUCUGAUCCCGUUGGUUCCUUCAGGAUCCCCAGUCAGGACUAUACAGCUGUGUCUCAUCCCGUUGGUUCCUUAAGGAUCCCCAGUCAGGACUAUACAGCUGUGUCUGAUCCCGUUGGUUCCUUAAGGAUCCCCAGUCAGGACUAUACAGCUGUGUCUGAUCCCGUUGGUUCCUUCAGUAUGCCCAGUCAGGACUAUACAGCUGUCUGAUCCCGUUGGUUCCUUAAGGAUCCCCAGUCAGGGCUAUACAGCUGUGUCUGAGCCCAUUGGUUCCUUAAGGAUCCCCAGUCAGGGCUAUACAGCUGUGUCUGAGCCCGUUGGUUCCUUAAGGAUCCCCAGUCAGGACUAUACAGCUGUCUGAUCCCGUUGGUUCCUUCAGGAUCCCCAGUCAGGACUAUACAGCUGUGUCUCAUCCCGUUGGUUCCUUAAGGAUCCCCAGUCAGGACUAUACAGCUGUGUCUGAGCCCAUUGGUUCCUUAAGGAUCCCCAGUCAGGGCUAUACAGCUGUGUCAGCCCGUUGGUUCCUUCAGGAUCCCCAGUCAGGACUAUACAGCUGUGUCUGAUCCCGUUGGUUCCUUUUAAGGAUCCCCAGUCAGGACUACACAGCUGUGUGAUCCUGUUGGUUCCUUCAGGAUCCCCAGUCAGGACUAUACAGCUGUCUGAUCCCGUUGGUUCCUUCAGGAUCCCCAGUCAGGACUACACAGCUUUUUAUUUCUGCCGUCUUUUAUAUUAUUAUAUAGCAACGAUUUAAUAAUCAGAAAAACGCUGGACGAAUCUUCAUAGAAAUGUCUUUAAUAUAUGAUUUACUCCUUUUGUUUUUAGAUUUUUUAUUAAAUCAUUUGAGGUUUGUUUUGUUCACCUGUAAGCUUCAAAUUGACUGCACUGUACUCUCAUUACCCUGGCUGACUUGUGAAUCCACAAAUUGCACCCUAUUCCCUAAUGUAGUGCACUACUAUUAACCAGAGGCCUUACUAACCAGUAGUAGUGCACUAUAAAAGGAAUAGCUUAAGGGACCAUUUGGGAGCCUGCUGGUGUGCUGCAUAACUAGAUGAUGUUCUCUCUGUGGUAGUAAUGCUAACGAUGAUAGGUUAGGGAUCAGUGGUAGUAAUGCUAUAAUGCUAAUGAUAGGCUAGGGAUCAGUGGUAGUAAUGCUAUAAUGCUAAUGAUAGGCUAGGGAUCAGUGGUAGUAAUGCUAUAAUGCUAAUGAUAGGCUAGGGAUCAGUGGUAGUAAUGCUAUAAUGCUAAUGGUGAUAGGCUAGGGAUCAGUGGUAGUAAUGCUAAUUAUGAUAGGCUAGGGAACAGUGGUAGUAAUGCUAUAUUGCUAAUGAUAGGCUAGGGAUCAGUGGUAGUAAUGCUAUAAUGCCAAUGGUGAUAGGCUAGGGAUCAGUACUAGUAAUGCUAAUGAUGAUAGGCUAGGGAACAGUGGUAGUAAUGCUAAUGAUUAUAGGCUAGGGAUCAGUGGUAGUAAUGCUAAUGAUGAUAGGCUGGGGAACAGUGGUAGUAAUGCUAAUGAUGAUAGGCUAGGGAACAGUGGUAGUAAUGCUAAUGAUGAUAGGCUAGGGAACAGUGGUAGUAAUGCUAAUGGUGAUAGGCUAGGGAACAGUGGUAGUAAUGCUAAUGGUGAUAGGCUAGGGAACAGUGGUAGUAAUGCUAAUGAUAGGCAAGGGAAAAGUCGUAGUAAUGCUAUAAUGCUAAUGAUGAUAGGCUAGUGUUGCAAAAUUCCUGAAACGUUCCCUACAUUUCCAAGGUUUUUUAUUAAUCAUGUUUCAAGGAAUUUCUGAUAUCAGGAAGGAUUAACUAGGGAAGGCAUCCUCCUACUGAGAUUUAUGAGGAAUUUCAGAGUUCUGAAAAGCUUGUAGCUCAAUAACCAGUAUCUGAGCUGUGAAGCACUUUCUGUUGUGUUGCUAGAUUGACCAGGUUGUUGUCAUGGGGAUGGAUGGUGGCAGAACGUGUUGUUGCCACUACUCGUGAUGCUAGCAUGGUCUAGUCCUGAGUCCUGAGUCCCAGCUCUGUUUGUGCUGUCUUGCCAACUCUAUGUGAUUUAUAGGAGUCGCUAAGACAGCACAAACGGAUGUGGGACCAGGCUAAGCAUGGUUCACCUUGGUGUCAAGGGUCAACUAAUCAAGUCAAGUAAUGGCACAUACAUAACCACUGUCUGGAGAGACCUGCAGAGACCUACAGCUAGACUCCCUAACACAGUGUCUGUUCAGACUGAUUCAUUAGAGCUAGACUCACUAACACAGUGUCUGUUCAGACUAAUGCUUUGAGUACUGAGUAGUGACUUGUUUCAGUGCCUAAUGCCUUGAGUACUGAGUAAUGACUUGUUUCAGUGCCUAAUGCCUUGAGUACUGAGUAGUGACUUGUUUCAGUGCCUAAUGCCUUGAGUACUGAGUAUUGACUUGUUUCAGUGCCUUUAUUGUAGAAUGACUUGUUGGUUGGUCUGUAGAUAGUUUUCAGAUGCCACCUCCCCUUCUCUUGAAGCCCAGCUCACCUAUCUCUGAGUUGGUGGACAGGACAGGUUCCUACCCUUAAAAAUGUACGUGUGAUCAGGGUGGUUGGCAGGUAGCCAAGGAGCGCUACAGUUCACUCCAAGCAACUCGUAUCAAGCAGAUCACACAAUUUACCACGGCCAACAGCAGGCCUGGUCUACAGGGUAAUAGUAGUGUGGGUAGGAGCCACUGUCUGGAGUCAGAUCAGAUUAACUUCAUUAAUAACCCACUGUCUGGAGUCAGACCAGAUUAACAUCAUUAAUAACCCACUGUCUGGAGUCAGACCAGAUUAACAUCAUCAAUAACCCACUGUCUGGAGUUCAUUAAUAACCCACUGUCUGGAGUCAAACCAGAUUAACAUCAUCAAUAACCCACUGUCUGGAGUUCAUUAAUAACCCACUGUCUGGAGUCAGACCAGAUUAACUUCAUUAAUAACCCACUGUCUGGAGUCAAACCAGAUUAACUUAAUUAAUAACCCACUGUCUGGAGUUCAUUAAUAACCCACUGUCUGGAGUCAAACCAGAUUAACAUCAUUAAUAACCCACUGUCUGGAGUCAGACCAGAUUAACUUCAUUAAUAACCCACUGUUUGGAGUUCAUUAAUAACCCACUGUCUGGAGUCAAACCAGAUUAACUUCAUUAAUAACCCACUGUCUGGAGUCAGACCAGAUUAACUUCAUUAAUAACCCACUGUCUGGAGUCAAACCAGAUUAACUUAAUUAAUAACCCACUGUCUGGAGUUCAUGAAUACCCACUGUCUGGAGUCAAACCAGAUUAACAUCAUUAAUAACCCACUGUCUGGAGUCAAACCAGAUUAACAUCAUUAAUAACCCACUGUCUGGAGUCAGACCAGAUUAACAUCAUUAAUAACCCACUGUCUGGAGUCAGACCAGAUUAACUUCAUUAAUAACCCACUGUCUGGAGUCAGACCAGAUUUACUUCAUUAAUAACCCACUGUCUGGAGUUAGACCAGAUUAACAUCAUUAAUAACCCACUGUCUGGAGUUAGACCAGAUUAACAUCAUUAAUAACCCACUGUCUGGAGUCAGACCAGAUUAACAUCAUUCAUAACCCACUGUCUGGAGUCAGACCAGAUUUACUUCAUUAAUAACCCACUGUCUGGAGUUAGACCAGAUUAACAUCAUUAAUAACCCACUGUCUGGAGUCAGACCAGAUUAACAUCAUUCAUAACCCACUGUCUGGAGUCAGACCAGAUUAACAUAAUUCAUAACCCACUGUCUGGAGUCAGACCAGAUUAACAUAAUUCAUAACCCACUGUCUGGAGUUAGACCAGAUUAACAUCAUUCAUAACCCACUGUCUGGAGUUAGACGAGAUUAACAUCAUUCAUAACCCACUGUCUGGAGUUAGACGAGAUUAACAUCAUUCAUAACCCACUGUCUGGAGUUAGACGAGAUUAACAUCAUUAAUAACCCACUGUCUGGAGUCAAACCAGAUUAACAUCAUUAAUAACCCACUGUCUGGAGUUAGACCAGAUUAACAUCAUUCAUAACCCACUGUCUGGAGUUAGACGAGAUUAACAUCAUUCAUAACCCACUGUCUGGAGUCAGACCAGAUUAACUUCAUUAAUAACCCACUGUCUGGAGUUAGACGAGAUUAACAUCAUUAAUAACCCACUGUCUGGAGUCAGACCAGAUUAACAUCAUUCAUAACCCACUGUCUGGAGUCAGACCAGAUUAACAUAAUUCAUAACCCACUGUCUGGAGUCAGACCAGAUUAACAUAAUUCAUAACCCACUGUCUGGAGUUAGACCAGAUUAACAUCAUUCAUAACCCACUGUCUGGAGUCAGACCAGAUUAACAUCAUUCAUAACCCACUGUCUGGAGUCAGACCAGAUUAACAUCAUUCAUAACCCACUGUCUGGAGUUAGACCAGAUUAACAUCAUUCAUAACCCACUGUCUGGAGUCAGACCAGAUUAACAUCAUUCAUAACCCACUGUCUGGAGUUAGACCAGAUUAACAUCAUUCAUAACCCACUGUCUGGAGUCAGACCAGAUUAACAUCAUUCAUAACCCACUGUCUGGAGUCAGACCAGAUUAACAUCAUUCAUAACCCACUGUCUGGAGUCAAACCAGAUUAACAUCAUUCAUAACCCACUGUCUGGAGUUAGACGAGAUUAACAUCAUUCAUAACCCACUGUCUGGAGUCAGACCAGAUUAACAUCAUUCAUAACCCACUGUCUGGAGUCAGACCAGAUUAACAUCAUUCAUAACCCACUGUCUGGAGUCAGACCAGAUUAACUUCCGUGAUAAUGAAUGCUAAAUUAGCAUGCUAUAUUGAUAUGCUAUUAUGGACCACCAUGACUGGUAACAUGAACGACCUGAAUGUUUAUUACCCCUGUCACCACUACCUUUUCUGGGAAUGACUGCAGCCUUGUAUCGUACUGUGAUGACCUGGGAUGUGUUCAUUGGGCACCAAACAGUAGAAAACUGAUUUAAAACAGGGAGGGACUACCUGCACUAGUAGUCCAAUAACAAACACUAAAAUGUAUAUUUUCCUGUUGUAAAACAUUUUUGCUAGAAUUCAGAUGGCACCAUUUGUCACGAUUGUCGUUGGGAGAAGGAGAAGAGGACCAAAGAGCAGCUUGGUAUACUGGAACAAAAACAACAGACCGACAAACGAACAGUUCUGCAAGGUGCAACAAAAACACUAAACAGAAAAUUCAAAACAUAGAAUACCCACCCCAACUCACGCCCUGACCAAACUAAAACAGAGACAUAAAAAAGGAACUAAGGUCAGGGCGUGACACCAUUCUUCCAUAGGGUUUGAAAGAAGUGCACUUUUUUAUUUUUUAUUAGUGCUAGCUUUGGAGUAGGCUAGCUCUGGAGUAGGCUAGCUUUGGAGUAGGCUAGCUUUGGAGUAGGCUAGCUUUGGAGUAGGCUAGCUCUGGAGUAGGCUAGCUCUGGAGUAGGCUAGCUCUGGAGUAGGCUAGCUUUGGAGUAGGCUAGCUUUGGAGCAGGCUAGCUUUGCUCGGUCUAUGUAGUCCCCUUAACUAUUGCUGUUGUGUGGUUUUAAUUAUGUCAAUGAUCUUUCACUUUAUGCCUCGGCACCACUGUUAUUAUGUUUUCAUUCAUGCUGUCUGUGAUAUUUUGUUGUUGUUGUUGUUGUUUCUUAUUUGUUUUGUUUAUAAUUAAACUCUUCUCUCUGUGUCCACUAAUUACAAUGAAUAAAUAAACUUACCUCGGAGUUUAAAG